CGGUAACAGGUCUUCGGAUGCUGACGAGUGGCGAACGGGUGAGUAAUACAUCGGAACGUGCCCGAUCGUGGGGGAUAACGAAGCGAAAGCUUUGCUAAUACCGCAUACGAUCUACGGAUGAAAGCAGGGGACCGCAAGGCCUUGCGCGAACGGAGCGGCCGAUGGCAGAUUAGGUAGUUGGUGGGAUAAAAGCUUACCAAGCCGACGAUCUGUAGCUGGUCUGAGAGGACGACCAGCCACACUGGGACUGAGACACGGCCCAGACUCCUACGGGAGGCAGCAGUGGGGAAUUUUGGACAAUGGGCGCAAGCCUGAUUCAGCCAUGCCGCGUGCAGGAUGAAGGCCUUCGGGUUGUAAACUGCUUUUGUACGGAACGAAAAGACUCUGGUUAAUACCUGGGGUCCAUGACGGUACCGUAAGAAUAAGCACCGGCUAACUACGUGCCAGCAGCCGCGGUAAUACGUAGGGUGCGAGCGUUAAUCGGAAUUACUGGGCGUAAAGCGUGCGCAGGCGGUUAUAUAAGACAGAUGUGAAAUCCCCGGGCUCAACCUGGGAACUGCAUUUGUGACUGUAUAGCUAGAGUACGGCAGAGGGGGAUGGAAUUCCGCGUGUAGCAGUGAAAUGCGUAGAUAUGCGGAGGAACACCGAUGGCGAAGGCAAUCCCCUGGGCCUGUACUGACGCUCAUGCACGAAAGCGUGGGGAGCAAACAGGAUUAGAUACCCUGNUAGUCCACGCCCUAAACGAUGUCAACUGGUUGUUGGGUCUUCACUGACUCAGUAACGAAGCUAACGCGUGAAGUUGACCGCCUGGGGAGUACGGCCGCAAGGUUGAAACUCAAANGNAAUUGACGGGGACCCGCACAAGCGGUGGAUGAUGUGGUUUAAUUCGAUGCNACGCGAAAAANC
This 906-nucleotide ribosomal RNA is filed under the name uncultured bacterium. RNAcentral's name for it is "bacterial SSU rRNA". It matches the Rfam family "Bacterial small subunit ribosomal RNA", at positions 67 to 970 of the family's 1533-position model. The record is from RNAcentral.